CCGGCGAUUAAGCACUUACCAUGUGCCUCUCCUGCUUCAGGGCACCACGCCAGCCUAUAAGCAGCCGCAGGGGUUGAGCCCUGCAGAGCCCCAGAGGCAGAGCUGCCCAAGGCUUUGGGAGCCCACCUCUUGCAUCACUGUGCCCUGGAUGUGAGACGUGGAAUCAAGGAGAUUAUUUUGGAGCUUUAAGACGUAAUGGCACCCUGCUGGGUUUCAGACUUGAGUGGAGCCUGCAGCCUUUCUUUCGGCCGGUUUCUCCCUUUUGGAACGGGAGUAUUUACCCAAUGCCUGUACCCCCAUGGUGGCAGCUGAGGCUUACUACCCCAGGAAAGGGAUGCCACCAGAGAAGGCAGACAACCAAGAUGGCGACUCUCAAUUUUUGAGCUCCUAAUUUUCUCAUGUCAGACAUAAGAAAAAAAAAUAUUUUUUAAAGAAAAAGCUUUAGGUUGCAAAAAUCUAGGCCUUUCAACUUUAAAAUCCUAUUCUUGCAAGCCUUGGAGAAUAAAGCUUAUGCAUAAACAGUAGAUUUGGAAACAGAAAUAUGCCUAAUUACCCAGAGCCAUUCUUUCAAUACGCCAGUGAUUGUUUAAAGAUUCUAUAGGCUGGAGUCAAUGGCAGGAGGCGGGUGGGAAAAGAGUCAAGAGGGAGGAGAGAAGAAGCAAGAGGGUUGGGUAGAUAUUGUCACAUGACCCUGAGAGGAGGAUUCUGGGUCAAACCCCUAGGGGGUUGUGUGUAAUGGAGACUCCAGAUCCAUUUGGGAAUCUGGCUCCAAAGAAGACUUCACCUUGCCUUCUGAGUGGAGCCCUGAAGUGGCAAGACUCAUAGAAUUCCCCCACGGGUCCACACAAGAGAGAAUGAAUAGAGAAGGCUGCGUGCUGGCUGGACCAAGGCAGCCUCGGGUGACACCACCACCACCACCGCCGCUGCCGCCAUCGCCAUCACCACUGCCGCUGCCAUCACCGCCACCACCACCACCAUCACCACCACCAUCACCACAUUAUGGACAAUAGCCCAAUGUUUCCUGAGUUCCCUAGAGGGUUGAAAGAGAAUAGGACCUAGAGAGAUCACAUAGUUGGGACAGGCACUCAUUAAUUUGAUCCAAUGACAAGAGACCAGAUGGGAAGAAGGAUGCCUUGAGAGAUGUCAGUGUGCACCCAUGGAUAGAAGCAGCUGGUGACUGGGUACUUGGGAAGCCACAUGGACACACACAAAGCUCCUGGAAGACGUUUUCAAGGAGUUGGGCUGUGCUGGGAUCCAGAACUGGCUGAAGAAACCAUGAGCUGACAUAAAAUUUCUGCCACCUAGCAGAAUGGAGGCUCCAUUUGGAAAUUAAAUUAUAUACUUAAAAAAACUAUAAUUGCUUCAUUUCUUUUUUUUGAGAUGGAGUUUCACUCUUGUUGCCCAGGCUGUAGUGCAAUGGCACCAUCUCAGCUCACUGCAAACUCCGCUCCCGGGUUCAAGAGGUGAUCCUGCCUCAGCCUCCCGAGUAGCUAGGAUUACAGGUGUGCGGCCACCAUGCCCCGCUAAUUUUGUAUUUUCAGUAGAGACGGGGUUUUACCAUGUUGGUCAAGCUGGUCUCAAACUCCUGACCUCAAAUGAUCCACCCACUUUGGCCUCCCAAAGUGCCAGGAUUACAGGCAUGAGCCACUGCGUGAAGCCAAAUGCUUCAUUUCUUUUUUUCUUUUUUUUUGUUGAGAGGGAGUCUCACUCUGCCGCCCAGGCUGGAGUGCAGUGCCGCAAUCUCGGCUCACUGCAAGCUCCCGCGUUCACGCCAUUCUCCUGCCUCAGCCUCCCGAGUAGCUGGGACUACGGGCGCCCGCCACCACGCCUAGCUAAUUUUGUUUUGUACUUUUAGUAGAGCCGGGGUUUCACCGUGUUAGCCAGGACGGUCUCGAUCUCCUGACCUCGUGAUCCGCCCGCCUGGGCCUCCCAAAGUGCUGGGAUUACAGGCGUGAGCCACCGCGCCCGGCCUGCUUCAUUCCUUAUACAUCUGAGUUGGCCAUCUGAGAUUUUGUUUCUACUACACAGCACUACGGCAAGGAUUACGCGAAACCACCUAGUCCCUAGUAUGGUUCCUGCCAUGUAAUCAGGACACAGCAGAUCGCAGCUGGGUAUUUUCCAUUUUCCUCCGGAUCUGCUCUGCACCCUUCUCCACUGGCCCUCAGCUGUGGGAAGCUGACCUCAUGGACUGCAGGCCUAGAGGUAAGCAGCCCUGGACUGUUGCAGCUACUCAAGAAGGUGUGGCCUUUGCUUCCUGGCACUCAGAUGGCAGCUGACCUCUAGGAAAAGCCACACAUUUGGCCAAAAGAUGAAGUGGAAAAAAUGUACUGUUGAACAAAUAUCCAGGAUGGUUGCUCAGAAUGUAUAAAAUGAUGAACUGUGUGGAAAAAUCAUGCCUGUGGCAAAUUGUCAGCAGGCUAUAUUUGGGGGUCCGAAUGCAGGGCCCCUGCCAACUGAGUUCACAGAGCCUUAGUGUUUUUCCACUUCUAUUUAUAGCGAUGCACACAUUCACACACAAAAAAUGCAGGGGACAUUGGACUUCGUUUUUAAAUGAUGAAAAUGUUCGAAAUGUAUCUGGUUUCAGCACGUGAGAGCCGCUCUGCUGUCUACGAUCAGCCUUGCUUACUGAAGAAGGGAUUAAUCAACGUGGGGAAAACAACGUAAUAGGAUCCUUUGGGAAUCUGAAAGUCUGAAAACAACUUUUUUCUCUAUUUCCUUUUUAAAAUGUAAUUCACUUCAACAAAACUUUAUUGAGCACCAACGAUGCAAAAUGUUGAAAUGGACAUCUGAUUGUUGUCUCUCAGCCUCCAUUCCUCCUGCCCCUUUUCCAGCAGCCAUUGCUUCUAGUUGGAGAACCACGUGUUUCCAGUGAGGGAGAUUCUUCUUUCCAGCUUCAGAUGUUGAACACAAGACCUGGCUUGGCCAAUCAGGGCAAGCCAUCCCCCUGGGCACAGUGAUUGGCUCAGGCCCACCCCGAGCUGGACCAAUCAGAGUGAAGAGUGAGACUUUGGCCAGGAAUGCUGAAACAAAGACUGAGCCUUAGUGUUGGAUUUGAAGGAAGAAGCCCCAGGAGCUGCUGAGAGCUGUUUUAUAACCAUGAGCUCAAACUUUAUAGCAAGACAAAGCCAGAAUGUUCAGGUGAAGAAGCAGAGAAUGGCUGUGUGAGUUUCCUAGGCUGUCGGAACAGAGAGCCACAAACUGGGUGUCUUCAAUCCAUACAAAUGUAAUUAUCUCACAGUUCUGGAAGCUGGAAGUCUGAAAUCAAGGUGUCAGCGGGGCUAUGCUUCCUCUAAAGCCUCUAGGUAGGAAAUUCCUUGCCUCUCCAGCUUUUGGUAGAUAAGUUUUUGGCUUAUCCCAGCUUACUCCAAUCUCUGCCCUGUCUUCACAUGGCCUUCUCAUGUCUCUGUGUCCUGGCCUGUUCUUCCAAGGAUGCCAAUCAUUGGGAUUAGGGUCAGUCUAAAUCCAGGAUGAUUUCAUCGCACAACACUUGACUAAUUACAUCUACAAAGAUCCUAUUUCCA
RNAcentral lists this long non-coding RNA (3521 nucleotides) under Homo sapiens (human). RNAcentral describes it as "HSALNT0027473". Lineage: Eukaryota; Metazoa; Chordata; Mammalia; Primates; Hominidae. The record is from RNAcentral.